This 1052-nucleotide ribosomal RNA is filed under the name Vibrio alginolyticus. RNAcentral's name for it is "bacterial SSU rRNA". It matches the Rfam family "Bacterial small subunit ribosomal RNA", at positions 482 to 1533 of the family's 1533-position model. RNAcentral also lists the same sequence under 1 other name. Lineage: Bacteria; Pseudomonadati; Pseudomonadota; Gammaproteobacteria; Vibrionales; Vibrionaceae. The record is from RNAcentral.
CAGAAGAAGCACCGGCUAACUCCGUGCCAGCAGCCGCGGUAAUACGGAGGGUGCGAGCGUUAAUCGGAAUUACUGGGCGUAAAGCGCAUGCAGGUGGUUUGUUAAGUCAGAUGUGAAAGCCCGGGGCUCAACCUCGGAAUAGCAUUUGAAACUGGCAGACUAGAGUACUGUAGAGGGGGGUAGAAUUUCAGGUGUAGCGGUGAAAUGCGUAGAGAUCUGAAGGAAUACCGGUGGCGAAGGCGGCCCCCUGGACAGAUACUGACACUCAGAUGCGAAAGCGUGGGGAGCAAACAGGAUUAGAUACCCUGGUAGUCCACGCCGUAAACGAUGUCUACUUGGAGGUUGUGGCCUUGAGCCGUGGCUUUCGGAGCUAACGCGUUAAGUAGACCGCCUGGGGAGUACGGUCGCAAGAUUAAAACUCAAAUGAAUUGACGGGGGCCCGCACAAGCGGUGGAGCAUGUGGUUUAAUUCGAUGCAACGCGAAGAACCUUACCUACUCUUGACAUCCAGAGAACUUUCCAGAGAUGGAUUGGUGCCUUCGGGAACUCUGAGACAGGUGCUGCAUGGCUGUCGUCAGCUCGUGUUGUGAAAUGUUGGGUUAAGUCCCGCAACGAGCGCAACCCUUAUCCUUGUUUGCCAGCGAGUAAUGUCGGGAACUCCAGGGAGACUGCCGGUGAUAAACCGGAGGAAGGUGGGGACGACGUCAAGUCAUCAUGGCCCUUACGAGUAGGGCUACACACGUGCUACAAUGGCGCAUACAGAGGGCGGCCAACUUGCGAGAGUGAGCGAAUCCCAAAAAGUGCGUCGUAGUCCGGAUUGGAGUCUGCAACUCGACUCCAUGAAGUCGGAAUCGCUAGUAAUCGUGGAUCAGAAUGCCACGGUGAAUACGUUCCCGGGCCUUGUACACACCGCCCGUCACACCAUGGGAGUGGGCUGCAAAAGAAGUAGGUAGUUUAACCUUCGGGGGGACGCUUACCACUUUGUGGUUCAUGACUGGGGUGAAGUCGUAACAAGGUAGCGCUAGGGGAACCUGGCGCUGGAUCACCUCCUUA